UUUCAAAUGGAGUGGGGAAGAAGGACAAAAAAAGCCCCAAAAAUGACCCCAUCCAACUUUUUUUCACUCAAACUCAGGCUUUGCUCGUCUUUGAUGACUCUGUAGGCAGGCUUUCAGUGUGAAAGGUGAUGUAAUAUAACUUCAUGUCUCAUAAUAUUAUUGAUGUCGAGUGAUCAGAAUACUACAUAUACAUUUCUUUUAAGAUUUUUGACUAAUAAUAGGCUGUAGGCAACCAUAAAACAGUGAUCAUGCAUAAAUUAAUUAUCUUUUUAAAAAGUAUAUGUAGUGAGGGAACGACAUUCGGACCACAAUAUAGUAAGGGAUAUAAUGCUACAAGACCGUAGCAUGUAGCUGUUCUCAAACCUGAUUAGAUGUUAAUCGAGGCUAGUUAUAGUUACUUUGAAUGGGGACACAUCACAUUUUACUCAACACAUUUACUGAAAAUCUCAAGCAUUUUCAAGUCAUCAGACAAAAGUCUGAGUCAAGUCCCAAGUCAUUUAUGUCAAAGAUCAAGUCGAUUGUGACUUCAAUCCACACCUCUGCUCCUGCCUGCCAAAAGUAACCUGAGAACUAACAAACAAAAAUAUAGCAAUUUGUAUCUUUCGGCUUUUUCCUGAUUACAGAGUCGCCACAGCGGAUCUUUUUGUGAUGCACAUACUGAUUUUUGGCUUUAGCCUUUGAAUUCCAGAUGGCCUUCCUGAGGAAUACCGAUGAUGCUUACAAGUGGAGAUUCGAACCCGAGGCAUCUGCUCCAAAGUCCAGAACGCUAACCACUACCCCACAGCAAACAGGCGGAUAUUGGAGGACCUCAGACCCAUGAGCACAGCCCACUUAGGGAAUUCAUAUCAAUACCAACAAGGUGGAACCGCAAUCCUAAGUACCCUCACCUUGGUCAGGCAAUAAUCCAGUGCUGUGACACAAGCUGUGCUAGAUCGAUUCGGCCGUAAUGGCUGAGAAUGGAUCUGGGACUUUGGUGAAGAGCGCUUGUUUCACUAAAGACGCUGCUGCCUGAACAAGCUGAUGCUGAACCACUGCAUCUUUAUACAUUCAUGGAUACAUGCUGACCUUUCCCAGUGGCUGCAGACGUUGGGGUCAUCGGGGUUGAGAGUCCACACACGAGCGAUCAAGCCCAAAACAAGGAGCAGGGCUGGCACAGCAACAAGUGACCCCAUGACUCAAUCUGGAAACAUAACAUACAUUUACACAUGAAUGGAUCUGCGUAUAGUAUCACAUCAUAACAUCAUCAGAAA
Long non-coding RNA from Doryrhamphus excisus (bluestripe pipefish), 1250 nucleotides. RefSeq lists it as uncharacterized. The record is from RefSeq and is a predicted model, not a curated record. NCBI's taxonomy places the organism in Eukaryota, Metazoa, Chordata, Actinopteri, Syngnathiformes, Syngnathidae.